This 547-nucleotide ribosomal RNA is filed under the name uncultured bacterium. RNAcentral's name for it is "bacterial SSU rRNA". It matches the Rfam family "Bacterial small subunit ribosomal RNA", at positions 13 to 550 of the family's 1533-position model. The record is from RNAcentral.
UUGAUCAUGGCUCAGGAUGAACGCUAGCGGCAGGCUUAAUACAUGCAAGUCGAGGGGCAGCAGCUUUAUAGCAAUAUAGAGGCUGGCGACCGGCAAACGGGUGCGGAACACGUACACAACCUUCCUUUAAGUGGGGGAUAGCCCAUAGAAAUGUGGAUUAAUACCCCGUAAUAUUAUUGAAGUGGCAUCACUUUAUAAUUAUAGUUUCGACGCUUGAAGAUGGGUGUGCGGCUGAUUAGGUAGUUGGCGGGGUAAAGGCCCACCAAGCCUUCGAUCAGUAGCUGAUGUGAGAGCAUGAUCAGCCACACGGGCACUGAGACACGGGCCCGACUCCUACGGGAGGCAGCAGUAAGGAAUAUUGGUCAAUGGACGCAAGUCUGAACCAGCCAUGCCGCGUGAAGGAUGAAGGUCCUCUGGAUUGUAAACUUCUUUUAUAGGGGGCGAAAAAAGGGAAUUCUUUCUCACUUGACAGUACCCUAUGAAUAAGCACCGGCUAACUCCGUGCCAGCAGCCGCGGUAAUACGGAGGGUGCAAGCGUUAUCCGGAU